This 27-nucleotide non-coding RNA is filed under the name Mus musculus (house mouse). The record is from RNAcentral. Lineage: Eukaryota; Metazoa; Chordata; Mammalia; Rodentia; Muridae.
UGCCCUUUUGUUUGCUGGCUGUGGGUC